This is a small nuclear RNA of Capra hircus (goat), 111 nucleotides long. The record is from Ensembl. Lineage: Eukaryota; Metazoa; Chordata; Mammalia; Artiodactyla; Bovidae.
GUGCUUGCUUUGACAGCACAUAUACUAAAAUUGAAAUGAUACAGAGAAGACUAACAUACAUGGCCCCUGUGUAAGGAUGACAUGCUAAUUCAUGAAGUGUUAAGUAUUUUA